Molecule: ribosomal RNA, 301 nt
Filed under: uncultured bacterium
Lineage: Bacteria
Description: partial 16S ribosomal RNA
Rfam family: Bacterial small subunit ribosomal RNA
Source: RNAcentral
CAGUCGCCACGGGAACACGGAGGGUGCAAGCGUUAAUCGGAAUUACUGGGCGUAAAGCGCACGCAGGCGGUCUGACAAGUCAGAUGUGAAAUCCCCGGGCUUAACCUGGGAACUGCAUUUGAAACUGUCAGGCUGGAGUCUUGUAGAGGGGGGUGGAAUUCCAGGUGUAGCGGUGAAAUGCGUAGAGAUCUGGAGGAAUACCGGUGGCGAAGGCGGCCCCCUGGACAAAGACUGACGCUCAGGUGCGAAAGCGUGGGGAGCAAACAGGAUUAGAUACCCCUGUAGUCCCUGUCUCUUAUAC